This 253-nucleotide ribosomal RNA is filed under the name uncultured bacterium. RNAcentral's name for it is "partial 16S ribosomal RNA". It matches the Rfam family "Bacterial small subunit ribosomal RNA", at positions 524 to 776 of the family's 1533-position model. The record is from RNAcentral.
UACGUAGGUGGCAAGCGUUGUCCGGAUUUAUUGGGCGUAAAGCGAGCGCAGGCGGUUUCUUAAGUCUGAUGUGAAAGCCUUCGGCUUAACCGGAGAAGUGCAUCGGAAACUGGGAGACUUGAGUGCAGAAGAGGACAGUGGAACUCCAUGUGUAGCGGUGGAAUGCGUAGAUAUAUGGAAGAACACCAGUGGCGAAGGCGGCUGUCUAGUCUGUAACUGACGCUGAGGCUCGAAAGCAUGGGUAGCAAACAGG